RNAcentral lists this small RNA (589 nucleotides) under Syncephalastrum racemosum. Its description in RNAcentral is "eukaryotic LSU rRNA". The stretch from base 196 to 347 matches the Rfam family "5.8S ribosomal RNA". Lineage: Eukaryota; Fungi; Mucoromycota; Mucoromycetes; Mucorales; Syncephalastraceae. The record is from RNAcentral.
AAGGAUCAUUCACAAUUGCUUUUUUUUUCUGACUGUGCAAACAGUUGGAAAAGAAGAAUUGGAUUCACCCAGUCUAUUGAAACGAUUCCUGGGUUACCAAAGAAUGGAUCUUGUAAUUAAAACAUUUGAUUUUCAAAUAAUACCAAUUGAUUUUAUUGAAAAAAAAAAUGAGCUUUGUCUCUUUUUUUUUUAAACAACUUUAAGCAAUGGAUCUCUUGGCUCUCGCAUCGAUGAAGAGCGUAGCAAAUUGCGAUAAUUAGUGCGAUCUGCAUUCUGCGAAUCAUCGAGUUCUUGAACGCACCUUGCACCCUUUGGCUUGUCCUUGGGGUAUGCUUGUUUCAGUACAACUACAAACCCACAAAUGUCAUUUUUGAAUUGAAAUGACCAUUGGGAUUGGGAUGUCAAAAGGAAUUUGGAAUUAAUCCAAUUUCCCUUUCAUCCUGAAAAUGAAUCCAUUGGGAUUGAAAGGUUAUUUGCUUUUCGUUUGUUACUUUGCAUUAAAUAUUCUUGAUUGAAUAGCAUUGGUUCUCGACAACAAAUUCAAAAAACUCGUUGUCUGCGAUCAAGUAGGAUUACCCGCUGAACUUAA